RNAcentral lists this unclassified non-coding RNA (767 nucleotides) under Hevea brasiliensis (rubber tree). The record is from RNAcentral. Lineage: Eukaryota; Viridiplantae; Streptophyta; Magnoliopsida; Malpighiales; Euphorbiaceae.
AAAAAAGGAAAAUAAUAAUCUGCCUCUGUUCUCUCUGGGCUGAAGUAGUAUUGGGUUAUCUGUUAAUUAAGUUGCCAUGGGAAGAGCUCCAUGUUGUGACAAAGCUAACGUGAAGAAAGGGCCUUGGUCUCCUGAGGAAGAUGCCACCCUCAAGAACUAUCUUCAGAAACAUGGCACUGGUGGCAAUUGGAUUUCCUUGCCUCGCAAAGCAGGCCUUAAACGAUGUGGCAAGAGUUGUCGUUUGAGAUGGUUGAAUUAUCUGAGACCAGACAUCAAGCAUGGAGGUUUUACCGAAGAAGAAGAUUACAUUAUCUGUACCCUCUACAAUAGCAUGGGAAGUAGGUGGUCUGUUAUAGCAUCGCAGCUGCCAGGAAGAACAGACAACGAUGUGAAGAAUUACUGGAACACCAAAUUAAAGAAAAAGAUGUUGGGAGGAAAGAUUACUGAUGCCAAGAGAAGCAGCAACAUCAAUAGCAGUAGUGAUAUAACCAUUAACAACUCCAGUGAUCCUUCGGAGCAAUUUUCAGUCUCCAUUCCAGAAACUGAAACCUACAAUAAUCCUGGAAAUUAUUCACCCUGCUUCAGCGCAAAUUGUGACACCUUGCCACCCCUCAUGGAGAUGGAGAUGAGUUUCCAGCAAUAUUAUCGUGAUCUACAAGGGCUAAUUUUGGACCAGACCCAAUUCCCUCAUUCAACUUUUAUGAAAGUUCCUGAUUUGGGCACAUAUGGAUAUAACAGUUACAACUGCUCCUCCUCCUCCUCAUCAU